RNAcentral lists this transfer RNA (99 nucleotides) under Kalmanozyma brasiliensis GHG001. It matches the Rfam family "tRNA". Rfam says of the family: Transfer RNA (tRNA) molecules are approximately 80 nucleotides in length. Their secondary structure includes four short double-helical elements and three loops (D, anti-codon, and T loops). The record is from Rfam by way of RNAcentral. Lineage: Eukaryota; Fungi; Basidiomycota; Ustilaginomycetes; Ustilaginales.
UCCCAGUUAGUACAAUGGUCAGUAUAGGGCACUCUCAUGCGGUUGCCGUUGGCACCACAUCGUACUGCUCAGAUCAGGGUUCGAUUCCCUGGCCGGGAA